RNAcentral lists this small RNA (1078 nucleotides) under Pan troglodytes (chimpanzee). RNAcentral's name for it is "retained intron". The record is from RNAcentral. Lineage: Eukaryota; Metazoa; Chordata; Mammalia; Primates; Hominidae.
CACAGUCUCACCAUGGCCCGCACCGUGGUGCUCAUCACCGGCUGUUCCUCGGGCAUCGGCCUGCACUUGGCCGUACGUCUGGCUUCAGAUCCAUCCCAGAGCUUCAAAGUGUAUGCCACGUUGAGGGACCUGAAAACACAGGGCCGGCUGUGGGAGGCGGCCCGGGCCCUGGCAUGCCCUCCGGGAUCCCUGGAGACGUUGCAGCUGGACGUAAGGGACUCAAAAUCCGUGGCCGCUGCCCGGGAACGCGUGACUGAAGGCCGCGUGGACGUGCUGGUGUGUAACGCAGGCCUGGGCCUGCUGGGGCCGCUGGAGGCGCUGGGGGAGGACGCCGUGGCCUCUGUGCUGGACGUGAAUGUAGUAGGGACUGUGCGGGUGCUGCAGGCCUUCCUGCCAGACAUGAAGCGGCGCGGUUCGGGACGCGUGUUGGUGACCGGGAGCGUGGGAGGAUUGAUGGGUGAGUGGUAGGGAGUGGCCUCCGCAGCUCCAGAUUCUUUGUGUGCGGAGCUGAGCCUUGAAGGCAGGUUCCGCGGAGGGGGGUGGAGGGGGGUGCCGUCAGCUUGGAGGGGCACCGUCUGCCCGGGGAUGACCCCCUGGCCGCUGCGCCUCAGGAACCUCGUCUCCCCACCUAAGGGCUGCCUUUCAAUGACGUUUAUUGCGCCAGCAAGUUCGCGCUCGAAGGCUUAUGCGAGAGUCUGGCGGUUCUGCUGCUGCCCUUUGGGGUCCAGUGAGUCAACACCCCCGUUCCCCGAACCCUCUUAACUCUGACCUAGAGACGCCGAGCACCCUGUCCUGCGGGAGCCGCUCUGGGGCGAUCUCCCUGGCCCUCUCUGCCCGGCUCACAUUAGCUGUGUGCCAGGCACUUGGGCUGGGCGCAUGGCACGCAUUGUGCCACCUGCUGACCUGGCUGCUGAAGUGUUGGUAUUGUUAUGGGGAAGCUCCAGCCCAGAGAGGUUAGGUGACUGGCCCAAGGUCACACAGCGGCCAGGGACCCCGCUAGAUUCGAAUCCUGACACCAGGGCUCCCUUGUAGCCUCAGAUGGAUUUGGGAGGGCUGCUCCGGCAGGAACCCGCGUUUC